RNAcentral lists this ribosomal RNA (826 nucleotides) under Gammaproteobacteria bacterium. RNAcentral's name for it is "partial 23S ribosomal RNA". It matches the Rfam family "Bacterial large subunit ribosomal RNA", at positions 1 to 864 of the family's 2925-position model. The record is from RNAcentral. Lineage: Bacteria; Pseudomonadati; Pseudomonadota; Gammaproteobacteria.
CUGCGGGUUAUAUAGUCAAGCGACUAAGCGCAUACGGUGGAUGCCUUGGCAGUCAGAGGCGAUGAAGGACGUGGAAGCCUGCGAUAAGCCUCGGGGAGGUGGCAAACAACCUUUGAUCCGGGGAUUUCCGAAUGGGGAAACCCACCUGGUUUCGGCCAGGUAUCGCACACUGAAUACAUAGGUGUGCGAGGCGAACCCGGGGAACUGAAAUAUCUAAGUACCCGGAGGAAAAGAAAUCAACCGAGAUUCCCCAAGUAGCGACGAGCGAACGGGGAUUAGCCCUUAAGCUGGUUGGUGGGUAGCGGAAGUGUCUGGAAAGUCACACCAUAGAGAGUGAUAGUCUCGUACGCGAAACGCGCCUUCCAGUGAAAUCGAGUAGGACGGGGCACGUGGAAACCUGUCUGAAUACGGGGGGACCAUCCUCCAAGGCUAAAUACUCCUGACUGACCGAUAGUGAACCAGUACCGUGAGGGAAAGGCGAAAAGAACCCCUGUGAGGGGAGUGAAAUAGACCCUGAAACCGUAUGCGUACAAGCAGUGGGAGCACCCUUCGGGGUGUGACUGCGUACCUUUUGUAUAAUGGGUCAGCGACUUACUUUCAGUGGCAAGGUUAACCGUCUAGGGGAGCCGUAGGGAAACCGAGUCUUAAAUGGGCGCCACAGUCGCUGGGAGUAGACCCGAAACCGGGCGAUCUAUCCAUGGCCAGGGUGAAGGUGGGGUAACACCGACUGGAGGCCCGAACCCACUUAUGUUGAAAAAUGAGGGGAUGAGCUGUGGAUCGGAGUGAAAGGCUAAUCAAGCCCGGAGAUAGCUGGUUCUCCUCGAAA